This 1232-nucleotide long non-coding RNA is filed under the name Homo sapiens (human). RNAcentral describes it as "non-protein coding lnc-ZNF701-1:4". The record is from RNAcentral. Lineage: Eukaryota; Metazoa; Chordata; Mammalia; Primates; Hominidae.
AAGCCUAUUAAAGAUCAGCUUGGAUCAAGCUUUCAUUCGCAUCUGCCUGAACUCCACAUGUUUCAGACCCAAGGGAAAAUUGGUAAUCAAGUGGAGAAGUCUAUCAAUGAUGCUUCCUCAGCUUCAACAUCCCAAAUAAUUUGUAGGCUCAAAACCCAUAUUUCUAUUAAGUAUGGGAAGAAUUUCCUCUAUUCUUCAUUAUUCACACAAAUACAAGAAGUACACAUGAGGGAAAAACCUUUCCAAUGUAAUGAGUGUGGCAAAGCCUUUAAUCAUAGCUCAUGUUUAAGGAGACAUCACGUAACCCAUUCAGGAGAGAAACAGUAUAAAUGUGAUGUAUGUGGCAAAGUCUUUCAUCAGAAGCAAUACCUUGCAUGGCACCAUAGUGUUCAUACUGGAGAAAAACCUUACAAGUGUAAUGAGUGUUCCAAGACCUUCAAUCAGAAGUCAUCCCUUCAGUGUCAUCAUAGACUUCAUACUGUACAGAAACAUUACAAAUGUGAAGAAUGCAACAAAGUUUUCCACCAUGAUUUAUGCCUUGCACAACAUCAGAGAGUUCAUACUGGAGAGAACCUUACACAUUUCACGAGUAUGGAAAGACCUUUGCUCAAAAUUCAGCCCUUGUAAUGCAUAAGGCAAUUCAUACUGGAAAGAAACCUUACACAUGUAAUGAAUGUGGCAAGGUUUCUAAUCAACAAUCAAACCUUGCACAACAUCAGAGAGUUUAUACUGGAGAGAAACCUUACAAGUGUAAUGAGUGGGGCAAAGCCUUAAGUGGGAAGUCGUCACUUUUUUAUCAUCAAGCAAUCCAUGGUGUAGGGAAACUUUGCAAAUGUAAUGAUUGUCACAAAGUCUUCAGUAAUGCUACAACCAUUGCAAAUCACUGGAGAAUCCAUAAUGAAGACAGAUCUUACAAGUGUAAUAAAUGUGGUAAAAUUUUCAGACAUCGAUCAUAUCUUGCAGUUUAUCAGCGAACUCAUACUGGAGAGAAACCUUACAAAUAUCAUGACUGUGGCAAGGUCUUCAGUCAAGCUUCAUCCUAUGCAAAACAUAGGAGAAUUCAUACAGGAGAGAAACCUCACAAGUGUGAUGAUUGUGGCAAAGUCUUGACUUCACGUUCACACCUCAUUAGACAUCAGAGAAUCCAUACUGGACAGAAAUCUUACAAAUGUCUUAAGUGUGGCAAGGUCUUCAGUCUGUGGGCACUCCAUGCAGAACAUCAGAAAAUUCAU